UGCAUUCUUAUCCUGUCUCAGC
RNAcentral lists this microRNA (22 nucleotides) under Pristionchus pacificus. RNAcentral's name for it is "ppc-miR-84e-3p". Its record names the gene ppc-miR-84e-3p. Lineage: Eukaryota; Metazoa; Nematoda; Chromadorea; Rhabditida; Neodiplogasteridae. The record is from miRBase by way of RNAcentral.